AUGCCGACGGUCGUCGAGAGGUUCGUGGACUGGAUGGUGUCGUGGUUGCCGAUGUACGAAGAGGCGAAGCUGCUGCUUAUCAUCUACCUCUGGCACCCCAGCACACGGGGUGCGGGGCACGUGUACGAUGGCUUCCCCCAUCUGCUGGUGGCGUGGCACGAGGCUGACAUCGACCGAGGCCUGCUUAAGCUGAGGGCUAGGGCGAGGGACGUGACGGCGUCACAACUCAAGGCGGCGGCUGCAAUCGGUCAAGUGUGGCUCGUCGAGGCUGCCCGUUGUGUUCCGUCGCAGCUGCAGGAUGCGAUAUCAGGCCGGGAAGGUGCCACGCAUUGA
RNAcentral lists this ribosomal RNA (333 nucleotides) under Triticum aestivum (bread wheat). RNAcentral's name for it is "partial small subunit ribosomal RNA". Lineage: Eukaryota; Viridiplantae; Streptophyta; Magnoliopsida; Poales; Poaceae. The record is from RNAcentral.